ACUCCUACGGGAGGCAGCAGUGGGGAAUAUUGCACAAUGGAGGGAACUCUGAUGCAGCGACGCCGUGUGAACGAAGAAGGCUUUCGAGUCGUAAAGUUCUUUUAUAUGGGAAGAUAAUGACGGUACCAUAAGAAAAGCCCCGGCUAACUACGUGCCAGCAGCCGCGGUAAUACGUAGGGGGCUAGCGUUGUCCGGAAUCACUGGGCGUAAAGGGUUCGCAGGCGGAAAUGCAAGUCAGAUGUAAAAGGCAGUAGCUUAACUACUGUAAGCAUUUGAAACUGCAUAUCUUGAGAAGAGUAGAGGUAAGUGGAAUUUUUAGUGUAGCGGUGAAAUGCGUAGAUAUUAAAAAGAAUACCGGUGGCGAAGGCGACUUACUGGGCUCAUUCUGACGCUGAGGAACGAAAGCGUGGGUAGCAAACAGGAUUAGAUACCCUGGUAGGCGUAG
This 445-nucleotide ribosomal RNA is filed under the name uncultured bacterium. Its description in RNAcentral is "bacterial SSU rRNA". It matches the Rfam family "Bacterial small subunit ribosomal RNA", at positions 335 to 799 of the family's 1533-position model. The record is from RNAcentral.